GACUUUAUAAAGAUUGUUUUGAAAACAAUUUAUAAGAUUAUUCUUUAAAGUCG
RNAcentral lists this transfer RNA (53 nucleotides) under Oxyopes licenti. RNAcentral describes it as "tRNA-Ser". The record is from RNAcentral. Lineage: Eukaryota; Metazoa; Arthropoda; Arachnida; Araneae; Oxyopidae.